This 497-nucleotide ribosomal RNA is filed under the name uncultured bacterium. RNAcentral describes it as "partial 16S ribosomal RNA". It matches the Rfam family "Bacterial small subunit ribosomal RNA", at positions 28 to 507 of the family's 1533-position model. The record is from RNAcentral.
GAUGAACGCUGGCGGCGUGCCUAAUACAUGCAAGUAGAACGCUGAAGGAAGGAGCUUGCUCUUUCCGGAUGAGUUGCGAACGGGUGAGUAACGCGUAGGUAACCUGCCUGGUAGCGGGGGAUAACUAUUGGAAACGAUAGCUAAUACCGCAUAACAGUAGAUGUUGCAUGAUAUCUACUUAAAAGGUGCAAUUGCACCACUACCAGAUGGACCUGCGUUGUAUUAGCUAGUUGGUGAGGUAACGGCUCACCAAGGCGACGAUACAUAGCCGACCUGAGAGGGUGCUCGGCCACACUGGGACUGAGACACGGCCCAGACUCCUACGGGAGGCAGCAGUAGGGAAUCUUCGGCAAUGGACGGAAGUCUGGCCGAGCAACGCCGCGUGAGUGAAGAAGGUUUUCGGAUCGUAAAGCUCUGUUGUAAGAGAAGAACGAGUGUGAGAGUGGAAAGUUCACACUGUGACGGUAUCUUACCAGAAAGGGACGGCUAACUACGUG